UACGUAGGUGGCGAGCGUUGUCCGGAUUUACUGGGUGUAAAGGGCGUGUAGGCGGGAUUGUAAGUCAGAUGUGAAAUUCCAGAGCUUAACUCUGGCGCUGCAUCUGAAACUGUGAUUCUUGAGUGUUGGAGAGGAUAGUGGAAUUCCUAGUGUAGCGGUGAAAUGCGUAGAUAUUAGGAGGAACACCAGUGGCGAAGGCGGCUAUCUGGACAAUAACUGACGCUGAGGCGCGAAAGCGUGGGGAGCAAACAGGAUUAGAUACCCUGGUAGUCCACGCUGUAAACGAUGAAUACUAGGUGUAGGAGGUAUCGACCCCUUCUGUGCCGCAGUUAACACAAUAAGUAUUCCACCUGGGGAGUACGGCCGCAAGGUUG
RNAcentral lists this ribosomal RNA (374 nucleotides) under uncultured prokaryote. RNAcentral describes it as "bacterial SSU rRNA". It matches the Rfam family "Bacterial small subunit ribosomal RNA", at positions 524 to 896 of the family's 1533-position model. The record is from RNAcentral.